UAAAGUGGCGAACGGCUGAGUAACACGUGGGCAACCUGCCCUUUGCACUGGGAUAGCCUCGGGAAACCGAGGUUAAUACCGGAUACUCCAUAUUUGUCGCAUGGCGAAUAUGGGAAAGCUCCGGCGGCAAAGGAUGGGCCCGCGGCCUGUUAGCUAGUUGGUGGGGUAGUGGCCUACCAAGGCAAUGAUGGGUAGCCGGGUUGAGAGACCGACCGGCCAGAUUGGGACUGAGACACGGCCCAGACUCCUACGGGAGGCAGCAGUG
This 265-nucleotide ribosomal RNA is filed under the name uncultured Atopobium sp. Its description in RNAcentral is "partial 16S ribosomal RNA". It matches the Rfam family "Bacterial small subunit ribosomal RNA", at positions 91 to 356 of the family's 1533-position model. The record is from RNAcentral. Lineage: Bacteria; Bacillati; Actinomycetota; Coriobacteriia; Coriobacteriales; Atopobiaceae.